Molecule: ribosomal RNA, 616 nt
Filed under: Helix pomatia (Roman snail)
Lineage: Eukaryota; Metazoa; Mollusca; Gastropoda; Stylommatophora; Helicidae
Description: partial 16S ribosomal RNA
Rfam family: Archaeal large subunit ribosomal RNA
Source: RNAcentral
AUUAAAGAUAUUAUUCCCUUGUAGUGUAGUUUAAUAGCUAUCUACAUAAUAACUUAACAUUAAGUAUGUUAGUUUAUAUUUUAUAGUAUGACGCUGACAAUUUUGCUAAUAGUUGAAAAUGUUAGUAUUAGUAAUAUUAGUAUAUGUGCUAAAGGAACUCGGCAAAAAACCACUCAACUGUUUAUCAAAAACAUAGCUAUAUGAAUUAGUAUAUAGUUAUUUCUGCUCAAUGACUUAAAUAGCCGCAGUACUCUGACUGUGCAAAGGUAGCAUAAUCAGUUGGCUUUUAAUUAGAGUCUGGUAUGAACGAAAAUAUGGGUAGUAACUGUCUUAGCACAUUUUUUUGAAUUUGUUAAACAAGUGCAAAUACUUGUAACUUAACAAUAGACGAGAAGACCCUAGAAACUUAGACAUGUUUUUGUUGGGGCGACAGAAUUACAUUUAACUAAUCUUUUAAUACAUGACGCGAUGCUGAAAGAGUAAGUUACUCUAGGGAUAACAGCAUAAUUUCAUUAGUUUGUGACCUCGAUGUUGGACUAGGUACUAUACCCUUAAGGCAAGGAUAUAUUGUGCUCUGUUCGAGCAAAAUUACCUACAUGAUCUGAGUUCAGACCGG